AAGUCGUAACAAGGUUUCCGUAGGUGAACCUGCGGAAGGAUCAUUACCGAGUUCAUGCCCUAACGGGUAGAUCUCCCACCCUAUGUUUACAUACCUUUGUUGCUUUGGCGGGCCGUCGUUAGACCGCUGGUUUUGGCCAGCGCGUGCCUGCCAGAGGACCCAAACUCUGUGUUUUAGUGUUGUCUGAGUCCUAUAAAAUACGUGAAAA
Molecule: unclassified non-coding RNA, 208 nt
Filed under: plant metagenome
Description: partial contains small subunit ribosomal RNA and internal transcribed spacer 1
Rfam family: Eukaryotic small subunit ribosomal RNA (bases 1-46)
Source: RNAcentral